Molecule: ribosomal RNA, 445 nt
Filed under: uncultured prokaryote
Description: bacterial SSU rRNA
Rfam family: Bacterial small subunit ribosomal RNA
Source: RNAcentral
UGAGGAAUAUUGGACAAUGGUGGGAACACUGAUCCAGCCAUGCCGCGUGCAGGAUGACUGCCCUAUGGGUUGUAAACUGCUUUUAUAUAGGAAGAAACCUUUCUUCUAGCAAGAGAGCUGACGGUACUAUAAGAAUAAGGAUCGGCUAACUCCGUGCCAGCAGCCGCGGUAAUACGGAGGAUCCAAGCGUUAUCCGGAAUCAUUGGGUUUAAAGGGUCCGCAGGCGGAUUGUUAAGACAGAGGUGAAAGUUUGCCGCUCAACGGUAAAAUUGCCUUUGAUACUGAUAGUCUUGAAUCAUUGUGAAGUGGUUAGAAUAUGUAGUGUAGCGGUGAAAUGCAUAGCUAUUACAUAGAAUACCGAUUGCGAAGGCAGAUCACUAACAAUGUAUUGACGCUGCGGGACGAAAGCGUGGGUAGCGACCGGGAUUAGAUACCCCUGUAGUCC